UGUCUGCUUUAAAAUAAGAGAAGGGCAUAUAGGGAGAGUGCAUAUACUGCAAUCGUAGCGGACUUCUCCUUCUGCGGAAGUUAGCGGCGGACGGGUGAGUAACACGUAGGCAACCUGCCCACAAGACCGGGAUAACAUUCGGAAACGAAUGCUAAGACCGGAUACGCAAGCCUGGGGCAUCCCGGGCUUGGGAAACACGGCGCAAGCUGUGGCUUGUGGAUGGGCCUGCGGCGCAUUAGCUAGUUGGCGGGGUAACGGCCCACCAAGGCGACGAUGCGUAGCCGACCUGAGAGGGUGAACGGCCACACUGGGACUGAGACACGGCCCAGACUCCUACGGGAGGCAGCAGUAGGGAAUCUUCCACAAUGGGCGAAAGCCUGAUGGAGCAACGCCGCGUGAGUGAGGAAGGCUUUCGGGUCGUAAAGCUCUGUUGCCAGGGAAGAAUAAGGGCCAGUUAACUGCUGGUCCGAUGACGGUACCUGAGAAGAAAGCCCCGGCUAACUACGUGCCAGCAGCCGCGGUAAUACGUAGGGGGCAAGCGUUGUCCGGAAUUAUUGGGCGUAAAGCGCGCGCANGCGGUUCUUUAAGUCUGGUGUAUAAGUGCGGGGCUCAACCCCGUGAGGCACUGGAAACUGGGGAACUUGAGUGCAGAAGAGGAGAGCGGAAUUCCCCCGUGUAGCGGUGAAAUGCGUAUAGAUGUGGAAGAACACCAGUGGCGAAGGCGGCUCUCUGGACUGGAACUGACGCUGAGGCGCCAAAGCGUGGGGGAGCAACCAGGAUUAGAAUACCGGGUAGUCCCCGCCGUAAACGAUGAGUGCUAGGGGGUUGGGGGGGGUCCCCCCUCCGGGCCCAAAUUAACACUUUAGCCCUCCGCCCGGGGGAAUACGCCCCCCAGGACGGAAACUCCCAGGGAAUUAGACGG
Molecule: ribosomal RNA, 922 nt
Filed under: Firmicutes bacterium enrichment culture clone CTBE CDB1009G02
Lineage: Bacteria; Bacillati; Bacillota
Description: bacterial SSU rRNA
Rfam family: Bacterial small subunit ribosomal RNA
Source: RNAcentral